CCUACGGGAGUCAGCAGUGGGGAAUAUUGCACAAUGGGGGAAACCCUGAUGCAGCGACGCCGCGUGAGUGAAGAAGUAAUUCGUUACGUAAAGCUCUAUCAGCAGGGCAGAAAAUUACGGUUCCUGAGUAAGAAGCCCCGGCUAACUACUGUCCAGCAGCAGCGGUACUACGUUGGGGGCAAGCGUGAUCCGGAUUGACUGGGUUGAAAGGCAGCUUAGACGGUGCGUCAAUUCUUGAGUGAAAUGCCGCAGGUUAAAUGCGGAACUGUUUUUGAAACCGGCGAACUAGAGUGCGGAAGGGGUAAGCGGAAUUCCUAGUGAAGCGGUGAAAUGCGUAGAUAUUAGGAGGAACACCGGUGGCGAAGGCGGCUUACUGGACCGUAACUGACGUUGAGGCUCGAAAGCGUGGGGAGCAAACAGGAUUAGAUACCCGUGUAGUC
This 440-nucleotide ribosomal RNA is filed under the name uncultured bacterium. RNAcentral describes it as "partial 16S ribosomal RNA". It matches the Rfam family "Bacterial small subunit ribosomal RNA", at positions 338 to 795 of the family's 1533-position model. The record is from RNAcentral.